GAUGAACGCUAGCGGCAGGCCUAAUACAUGCAAGUCGGACGGGAUUCAGGAGCUUGCUUCUGAUGAGAGUGGCGCACGGGUGCGUAACACGUAUGUAACCUACCUUUAUCAGGGGGAUAGCCUCUCGAAAGAGAGAUUAAGCCCGCAUAAAAUCACAGCACAGCAUUGUGUAAUGAUCAAAUAUUUAUAGGAUAAAGAUGGGCAUGCGGAACAUUAGCUAGAUGGCGGGGUAACGGCCCACCAUGGCGACGAUGUUUAGGGGAUCUGAGAGGAUGGCCCCCCACACUGGUACUGAGACACGGACCAGACUCCUACGGGAGGCAGCAGUAAGGAAUAUUGGUCAAUGGGCGGAAGCCUGAACCAGCCAUGCCGCGUGCAGGAAGACGGCCCUACGGGCUGUAAACUGCUUUUAUACGGGAAUAAACCCAGAUACGUGUAUCUGGCUGAAUGUACUGUAAGAAUAAGGAUCGGCUAACUCCGUG
Molecule: ribosomal RNA, 482 nt
Filed under: uncultured bacterium
Lineage: Bacteria
Description: partial 16S ribosomal RNA
Rfam family: Bacterial small subunit ribosomal RNA
Source: RNAcentral